AUGCCUACGCCACCGCUCCCUCCUGCCUCGCGCAGCUCCCCUGGCCCCCUUGCCUGCCUCCCAAAUCUCCCCUCUUUCACCUCCAAAGUCGUUUCUUCUUCCUCCCGCUGCGUCUUCUGCUUGCGCGCGGCGGCGACACCUCCUCCUCGUUGCCCCCGACGCCGGAGGAGGCACGGGGCAAACAGCAGUGUCUCGCGCUGCACUUGCGCCACCUCGGGUGCGCGUGGGCCUAUUCGCCGGUCGCCACCUCGGCCGUGCGCCAAUCUGCAAAGGAGGAGGAAGGGGAUUCCGUUCGCCACCAAGGCGUACUGGGUAUGCUCCUCGAGUCCCCGCUCUUCAGGCCCCUCCUCACCUCCCUCAUCAAGAAGCAGAACAACAUGA
This 381-nucleotide ribosomal RNA is filed under the name Triticum aestivum (bread wheat). RNAcentral's name for it is "partial small subunit ribosomal RNA". Lineage: Eukaryota; Viridiplantae; Streptophyta; Magnoliopsida; Poales; Poaceae. The record is from RNAcentral.